AAACAAGCAAUGACAAGGAAAAGUAGAGAUGGUCAGCGUAUUCACAGAGAGCUUUGUUAGCUGAGAGAAGCAACGCUGAUUGGUUUCGAAAGUAGCCUUCGAGCUAUCCGCUGAACCAAGUAGGCAGGAUUGGGAGUGCCCAUUAACGCACCAACGUAUUAACUUCAUUAGGAUGAGCGGCGUCCUGCGCGACAGCUCGUGUCACUUUAAAGAACUUUGUUAAGGUGGCUCUGCUUUUGAUGAUUAGUGCGUGGCAGAGGCAGCUAUGGUAAUGUAGCUGUAAAGUUAAGGGUGGUAACACGCAUCGGCGUCCUUAAG
RNAcentral lists this non-coding RNA (318 nucleotides) under Paucilactobacillus suebicus. RNAcentral's name for it is "Lactobacillus suebicus T-box sequence". It matches the Rfam family "T-box leader". Rfam says of the family: Uncharged tRNA acts as the effector for transcription antitermination of genes in the T-box leader family. Lineage: Bacteria; Bacillati; Bacillota; Bacilli; Lactobacillales; Lactobacillaceae. The record is from RNAcentral.